AACUGCACAGCGGCAGUAUCAUAGCCAAUGAGGUUUAUCUGAGGCACAGUUAUUGCUAAUUGAAAACUUUUCCCAAUACCCCACCAUGACAACUUGCAAUACAGUAGGCAUUGGCAAUUUUUGACAGUCUCUAUUGAGA
Small nuclear RNA from Cebus imitator (Panamanian white-faced capuchin), 139 nucleotides. Its record names the gene U4. It matches the Rfam family "U4 spliceosomal RNA". From Rfam's summary of the family: U4 small nuclear RNA (U4 snRNA) is a component of the major U2-dependent spliceosome. The record is from Ensembl. Lineage: Eukaryota; Metazoa; Chordata; Mammalia; Primates; Cebidae.